GAUGAACGCUGGCGGCGUGCCUAACACAUGCAAGUCGAACGGAAGCUUAACGCUGACGAGACUUCGGUCAAAUCUUGUUAAGCUUUAGUGGCGGACGGGUGAGUAACGCGUGGGCAACCUGCCUCAUACUGGGGGAUAACAGUUGGAAACGACUGUUAAUACCGCAUAAGCGCACAGAGUCGCAUGACUCAGUGUGAAAAACUCCGGUGGUAUGAGAUGGGCCCGCGUCAGAUUAGCUAGUUGGCGGGGUAACGGCCCACCAAGGCGACGAUCUGUAGCCGGACUGAGAGGUCGGACGGCCACAUUGGGACUGAGACACGGGCCAAACUCCUACGGGAGGCAGCAGUGGGGGAUAUUGCACAAUGGAGGAAACUCUGAUGCAGCGACGCCGCGUGAGUGAAGAAGUAUUUCGGUAUGUAAAGCUCUAUCAGCAGGGAAGAAAGGCUCGCAAGAGAGAUGACGGUACCUGACUAAGAAGCCCCGGCUAACUACGUGCCAGCAGCCGCGGUAAUACGUAGGGGGCAAGCGUUAUCCGGAUUUACUGGGUGUAAAGGGAGCGCAGACGGUCAAGCAAGUCUGAAGUGAAACCCCACGGCUCAACCGUGGGCUUGCUUUGGAAACUGUUUGACUAGAGUACUGGAGAGGUAAGCGGAAUUCCUAGUGUAGCGGUGAAAUGCGUAGAUAUUAGGAGGAACAUCGGUGGCGAAGGCGGUUUCC
Molecule: ribosomal RNA, 717 nt
Filed under: uncultured bacterium
Lineage: Bacteria
Description: bacterial SSU rRNA
Rfam family: Bacterial small subunit ribosomal RNA
Source: RNAcentral